This 255-nucleotide ribosomal RNA is filed under the name uncultured bacterium. RNAcentral describes it as "partial 16S ribosomal RNA". It matches the Rfam family "Bacterial small subunit ribosomal RNA", at positions 77 to 334 of the family's 1533-position model. The record is from RNAcentral.
CAAACUGGAGAUGGCGACCGGCGCACGGGUGAGUAACACGUAUCCAACCUGCCGAUAACUCGGGGAUAGCCUUUCGAAAGAAAGAUUAAUACCCGAUGGCAUAAUAGAACCGCAUGGUUUGAUUAUUAAAGAAUUUCGGUUAUCGAUGGGGAUGCGUUCCAUUAGGCAGUUGGUGGGGUAACGGCCCACCAAACCUUCGAUGGAUAGGGGUUCUGAGAGGAAGGUCCCCCACAUUGGAACUGAGACACGGUCCAA